This is a non-coding RNA of Melozone crissalis (California towhee), 411 nucleotides long. The record is from the annotation of a RefSeq genome assembly. NCBI's taxonomy places the organism in Eukaryota, Metazoa, Chordata, Aves, Passeriformes, Passerellidae.
CGGGCGGCCGUGACCCUGCUGGAGUUCGGGGGGGACCUCCAGUCCCCCGGGGGGACCCUGCGCCUCCUCUGCCGAGGGUCCGGGUUCGAUUUUGGCAGUUUUGGGACGGGCUGGUAUGGACAGACACCAAAGAAUGCACUGGAAUGGUUCGCAAAUAUCACCAGCAAUGGUGGCAGCACCUGGUACGCGCCUUCGGUCAAGGGCCGGUUCACGAUCUCCAGGGACAACGGGCAGAGCUCGGUGACGCUGACCAUGAACAACCUCAAGGACGAGGAUUCCGCCGUCUAUUUCUGCGGGAAAUCUUACAAUACUGGUGGUCCUGGUGCGGCUGCUCAUGGGGACCUGCGAAGUCCUGGUCUCACCCUCAUCACUGCCUCCCCUCCUGUCCCCAUUCCCCAUACCCUUCCCUAG